UUUUUUUUAAAGCUAAACCUUUGAUCACUGGCCACCUGUAGAAGUGAGUUUUAUUGAAGAAGCCCAGCUGCUGUCCUUAUUGCCAGCAGCCUAGGAGGCUCCCUUUAGAGUGAGCUACUUCUCAGGCCAGGCACGACAGCAGUGCUAGUGAAUUUGAAAUAGCAGGAAACAGCCCCUGCAUGCAGAGCUUCCCGCCUGAGAACUCCCCAGGCUAGGCCUCCAAGCAGCUGUGUAGCCAGAGACCCUUGGUAUUGUGGUCACAUCCCUCCAAGUGGACGGUCACCAUCAGUGGUGUUUGGAGGAAGCCGGGAUGCUGCAGAUGCUGUGGCAGUUUCUGUCUAGCUUUUUCCCUAGGGCUGGGUGCCAGGACUCCAGAGAGGGCACGGAUCAUGAAGUCAGAGGCACCCAGGCUCCUGCUCCGGGUAACCAGAUGUCAAGCUUUUUUGGGAAACAAGAUGGAAGGGCUGAGGCCACCGAAAAGAGACCCACCAUUUUGCUGGUGGUUGGACCUGCAGAGCAG
Molecule: long non-coding RNA, 520 nt
Filed under: Marmota monax (woodchuck)
Lineage: Eukaryota; Metazoa; Chordata; Mammalia; Rodentia; Sciuridae
Source: RNAcentral